Carcharodon carcharias (great white shark) is the source of this 990-nucleotide long non-coding RNA. RefSeq lists it as uncharacterized. NCBI's taxonomy places the organism in Eukaryota, Metazoa, Chordata, Chondrichthyes, Lamniformes, Lamnidae. The record is from RefSeq and is a predicted model, not a curated record. The transcript has 4 exons.
AGAUUAAUUAGACUGACAGAUACCUUAAUGUGCGGGAGAUUCUGACAUUUAAAGGCAAUACUCGGUGAGAUCAUAAAUAACUUCUCGUUAACAGGACAGAAGCCAUCCUGUUCACUCUUGCCAAACUCUGCCCCACCACUCUUCCUCUCCUGAAUAAUAUCAGUAUUCUGUUUAACCCACAACCUCACCGCUACCACAAAUCAGAGUUUCUAUGUCAGUCUUCAGUAAAAUUGUAGCUUUAAAGUUACUUGCAUCAGAAUUGCUGAAGGAUAGGCAACCUGCUGCUUACUUGGUCAGGUGGGUGACCAGAAAAGAUAAUGAUACUUGAGAGAUUAUUUCACAAAUUCACUGACGGAAACAACUGCUAUAACUGGAAUAGAAGCAACACAGAGAGGGACUGAAGGUAGAAGGAUACUGUCAGACCUGCUGAGUUUUUCCAGCAUUUUCUGUUUUUGUUUCAGAUUUCCAGCAUCCGUAGUAUUUUGCUUUUAAUCAAGAGAGCAAAUUGUCCAAACCUCUGCAACAUGACACCUAGGAUAUCUUAAUUCCAGAGACUCAUCUGCCUGGGCUCUGUCAGCCUCCUGCCUAAUCGUGAAGGGAGUGCUAGCCAGCUGGUGAGAGGCAGGAGUGUUUCGGGCAAUAGGAGGCCACUAACAGAGACCCGAAGAAACUGUCCACAACACUCAAGUAAAUGGUUGGAAGAGGAAAGAGUCAAGAUGGCCUCUUGAGGACUUCUGUCCCUCCUAUCCCACAAGGAAACUUAACUUUCUGGAGAUUAUUUUGGUGUCAGUUCCUCUUGCAUCAGGUUGGCCUGAUGAGGAAGCCACAACAGCUUCCCUGCAUAGAGUCUGGUUAAAAUUGUAGUCAUGCCCAAAGGAUGUAUUCAGAGCAAGAUCUGCAUAUUUAAAGAUGGACCCCAUUACCUUCUGGCAGGAAUCCCUCUUGUUCACUCAGAAGAACAUAAGAACAAACAAAAUAGGACCAGGAGUA